Molecule: long non-coding RNA, 2002 nt
Organism: Engraulis encrasicolus (European anchovy)
Lineage: Eukaryota; Metazoa; Chordata; Actinopteri; Clupeiformes; Engraulidae
Exons: 3
Source: RefSeq, a predicted model, not a curated record
GCAGGGGAGAUGAUGAUGAUGAAGAUGAUGAUGAUGAAAAGGUGGUUUGGUUCAGCUUGCUGACUGCUGCUCCUGAGCUGGUUUUUGGCAAUGAUGAAGUGUGUCUUGGCCUCCAUCGGCUUCCUAAUAAGAUUGGAACUGCAACGGAGAGAGAGGCGUGGAUGGAUGAGAGGGAGCGAGGACUGAGAAGAGAGAAGGGGGGGAAAGCCUACAUCUACUCAUACUUAAAGAUCUCCCCCCCAAGGGCCGUAAUAAGAUGGCCCAGGGCCCCUAGGCUACAGGUUGCUCUGGGCCCCCCUGCAAGGUACAUUCCAGGACAAAAUUAAACAGACACUGGCCAGGGUCGGAGUAAGAUAGCCCGGGGGCCCUAGGCUACAGGUUGCUGUGUACCCCCCACCCCCGCCUGCAAGGUAUGCAAAACCACCGGUAGCGAGUUGGAGAGGAGCUGGGCCUCAGGUGGGGUGGAGAUGAAUGGGCCUUUUCAGUUGGGGGCUACGGAACGCCAUGUGCUGACUUCACACAAACUCAGAGGCAUCUUCCCCCUCUUUCCUCACCCUGCACUGCCUACCAUGUGUUUUUUUUCUGUCCAUGUUCUGUUGAAGAGUUAAGAAACACUGAAAGAUUGUACAGUUUGCAUGGAUGAAAGCACAGAUGUAACAUCUUAAAGACCACCAAUCACCACCACCAACAACAGCAACAAAAAUGCUGACUGCUCUACAAUUUCCAGUCUACCAGAGAAACUCAUUAAAAAAUACGCUCCCUAUCUAAAUAUCCUAAACUGGACUCUCUUUUUUAAUUCGCUCUCUCAUCGCAGUAAUUUUCCUCAGUCAACCUUGAUGUCCGCGCCUGACUGUUGUAGGUUGUGAGUGACCGUCAGAUGCUCGGGGCAGAAUAAAGGUUGCUUGUCACUCAGCUGUGUGGCGGCACAAUGGGUGGUCUAUGCCCUCUGGCACCUCCUCAUCCAGCCCCGUCAUGAUGGCCACCCAGGGCUGCACUGGCCAUAGGGCAUACAGGGCAUUUGCCUGGUGGCCUGUUGAUGAUUUUGGCUCUGUCCUCCCCUCAAUGUAGUGGUAUCAGUCCUUGUGCCGCUACAGCAAACCUCUCAGAGUCAAAUUUGACCAUUAAUGCUGUGGACCAACUUGGUCAAAAUAACUAUUAGAUGACAAAAAAAUGUUGACACAUGCUUUAUUGUCGCACUCAAUGCCUAGCGGACCGGUCUUGGCUGAAAAUGCCCGACCCGAUUUUUUGGUCGAGUCCAUCAUGAUGACCACCACCAGUGUUGUGUUUACGGGACGGGAGCGGACCACCCUCCUUCUGCUGCUGCUGCAGCUGAUGAACCCACCUUAAGCUCCUGGAAAAGAGGGAUGCCAAGCCUUAAACAGCUAUGGGCCUACAGUACAGAAUAAACACCCAACCAGGGCCCACGUACAGUACCUCAAACCACUAGUGCCCACUCAGCAAACUCAAAGCACAGUAAUGUAAACCUAUUCUUAUCAGACUGUAUAAUGCAGCUGACUGCACUGAUCAGUUGAUUUACCAGACCUGAAGUUGUUUAGUUAAUAAGAUCAGCUAACCCCCACCAGCUUCCACAUGGGAUUUAAGUUCUGGAAAAGAAAAAUCAAAUAAAUCAAUUUCAUUUUGAAUGAGAGGAGUAGAUGGAGGAAUGCUGUCAAAAAAGGAUUUUUGAAAUCAUAAGUGGAAAAGCCGAUGAGAAAAUGAAAGCACCUAAUAUUGAAGAUGCCGUACAGCUUUUUAAACAUUUUUUUUACAACUACUGUGUACAAUAGCAUGCAAACUUAUCCAGUCAGUUUGGGAGGCCUAUCUUUGAAACAAAACAAUCUUAGGCAAGGUUAUGCCAAGAUUAUUACUGCACAAAUUCACCAAGCAUGACAAAAGCAACAAAACCUCCGGGAGUAAUUGACUUAUUGUUUUCUAUGUGUUUGAGCUACAUAAUCAUUUUUUGCCAUGAUGAAAUUUUGGGUAAAAAGUUUGGGGUCGCCCA